Molecule: signal recognition particle RNA, 88 nt
Filed under: chicken gut metagenome
Description: Bacterial small signal recognition particle RNA
Rfam family: Bacterial small signal recognition particle RNA
About the family: The signal recognition particle (SRP) is a universally conserved ribonucleoprotein involved in the co-translational targeting of proteins to membranes.
Source: RNAcentral
GGUCCCGCGCAACGUCAGCCCGUGAACCAUGUCAGGCGGGGAACCGAGCAGCAUUAAGCGGUAUCUGGUGUGUGCCGCGGCCAGCCGG